UUAUUGGAGAGUUUGAUCCUGGCUCAGGAUGAACGCUGGCGGCGUGCCUAAUACAUGCAAGUCGAGCGAAUGGAUUGAGAGCUUGCUCUC
This 90-nucleotide ribosomal RNA is filed under the name Bacillus cereus. Its description in RNAcentral is "partial 16S ribosomal RNA". It matches the Rfam family "Bacterial small subunit ribosomal RNA", at positions 1 to 87 of the family's 1533-position model. RNAcentral also lists the same sequence under 1 other name. The record is from RNAcentral. Lineage: Bacteria; Bacillati; Bacillota; Bacilli; Caryophanales; Bacillaceae.